This 712-nucleotide ribosomal RNA is filed under the name Escherichia coli. RNAcentral describes it as "partial 23S ribosomal RNA". It matches the Rfam family "Bacterial large subunit ribosomal RNA", at positions 165 to 918 of the family's 2925-position model. Lineage: Bacteria; Pseudomonadati; Pseudomonadota; Gammaproteobacteria; Enterobacterales; Enterobacteriaceae. The record is from RNAcentral.
CAUAGGUUAAUGAGGCGAACCGGGGGAACUGAAACAUCUAAGUACCCCGAGGAAAAGAAAUCAACCGAGAUUCCCCCAGUAGCGGCGAGCGAACGGGGAGCAGCCCAGAGCCUGAAUCAGUGUGUGUGUUAGUGGAAGCGUCUGGAAAGGCGCGCGAUACAGGGUGACAGCCCCGUACACAAAAAUGCACAUGCUGUGAGCUCGAUGAGUAGGGCGGGACACGUGGUAUCCUGUCUGAAUAUGGGGGGACCAUCCUCCAAGGCUAAAUACUCCUGACUGACCGAUAGUGAACCAGUACCGUGAGGGAAAGGCGAAAAGAACCCCGGCGAGGGGAGUGAAAAAGAACCUGAAACCGUGUACGUACAAGCAGUGGGAGCCUCUUUUAUGGGGUGACUGCGUACCUUUUGUAUAAUGGGUCAGCGACUUAUAUUCUGUAGCAAGGUUAACCGAAUAGGGGAGCCGAAGGGAAACCGAGUCUUAACUGGGCGUUAAGUUGCAGGGUAUAGACCCGAAACCCGGUGAUCUAGCCAUGGGCAGGUUGAAGGUUGGGUAACACUAACUGGAGGACCGAACCGACUAAUGUUGAAAAAUUAGCGGAUGACUUGUGGCUGGGGGUGAAAGGCCAAUCAAACCGGGAGAUAGCUGGUUCUCCCCGAAAGCUAUUUAGGUAGCGCCUCGUGAAUUCAUCUCCGGGGGUAGAGCACUGUUUCGG